RNAcentral lists this ribosomal RNA (293 nucleotides) under uncultured bacterium. RNAcentral describes it as "partial 16S ribosomal RNA". The record is from RNAcentral.
GGACUACUGGGGUAUCUAAUCCUGUUCGCUCCCCACGCUUUCGCUCCUCAGCGUCAGUUCCGGCCCAGAGUGCCGCCUUCGCCACUGGUGUUCCUCCCGAUAUCUGCGCAUUUCACCGCUACACCGGGAAUUCCGCACUCCCCUACCGGACUCGAGUCACGGCAGUUUCGAAUGGCCCCUCCACGUUGAGCGUGGAGAUUUCACAUCCGACUUGCCGAACCGCCUACGAGCUCUUUACGCCCAAUGAUUCCGGACAACGCUAGACCCCUACGUAUUACCGCGGCUGCUGGCAC